CAUGGAGGGUGAGAAUCCCGUUCAUGGUUAAUCUUAAGGAAGCUCUACGAUACGUUUUCCAAGAGUCGAGUUGUUUGGGAUUGCAGCUCAAAAUGGGAGGUAAAUUUCUCCUAAGGCUAAAUAUUGGCGAGAGACCGAUAGCGAACAAGUACCGUGAGGGAAAGAUGAAAAGAACUUUGAAAAGAGAGUUAAACAGUACGUGAAAUUGUUGAAAGGGAAACGAUUGAAGUCAGUCAUACCAACGGGAAAUCAACCUUUUGAGCUUGAUCUCGUGGGUUUUGAAGAGUUUCAAAGCCUUCGGAUUCGCGAGAUUGGGAUCUCUCGGUGUAUUUUCUCGUACGGUUAGUCAACAUCGGUUUUGAAUGUCAUAAAAUGACUGGAGGAAUGUAGCUUCGAUCUCGUAUUGAGGUGUUAUAGCCUUUGGUAGAUGUGAUGUUUGAGACCGAGGAUUGCAACGGAUACCCUUCAGGGCUAUUCGUCUGAUCUCUGAUACGUUGCCUUGAUGUUGAAAGCUUGCUUAUGAUGUUAGGGUAUUACGGUCAAAAGGUUAGAACGAAUUACAUUCGUUAAGGAUGUUGACGUAAUGGA
This 588-nucleotide ribosomal RNA is filed under the name uncultured Glomus. RNAcentral's name for it is "eukaryotic LSU rRNA". It matches the Rfam family "Eukaryotic large subunit ribosomal RNA", at positions 204 to 638 of the family's 3401-position model. The record is from RNAcentral. Lineage: Eukaryota; Fungi; Glomeromycota; Glomeromycetes; Glomerales; Glomeraceae.